RNAcentral lists this ribosomal RNA (257 nucleotides) under uncultured bacterium. RNAcentral's name for it is "partial 16S ribosomal RNA". The record is from RNAcentral.
CUGCUGCCUCCCGUAGGAGUCUGGUCCGUGUCUCAGUACCAGUGUGGGGGACCUUCCUCUCAGAACCCCUACGCAUCGUCGUCUUGGUGGUCCGUUACACCGCCAACUAACUAAUGCGACGCAUGCCCAUCCGCCACCGGAAUUAACCUUUGGCACCAACAGGAUGUCCCGUCCAUGCAUUAUGCCGUAUUAGACGGAAUUUCUCCCGAUUAUCCGGCUGUGGCAGGCAGGUUGCAUACGUGUUACUCACCCGUGCG